AGUGAACGCUGGCGGUAGGCCUAACACAUGCAAGUCGAACGGCAGCACAGUAAGAGCUUGCUCUUACGGGUGGCGAGUGGCGGACGGGUGAGGAAUACAUCGGAAUCUACUUUUUCGUGGGGGAUAACGUAGGGAAACUUACGCUAAUACCGCAUACGACCUACGGGUGAAAGCAGGGGAUCUUCGGACCUUGCGCGAUUGAAUGAGCCGAUGUCGGAUUAGCUAGUUGGCGGGGUAAAGGCCCACCAAGGCGACGAUCCGUAGCUGGUCUGAGAGGAUGAUCAGCCACACUGGAACUGAGACACGGUCCGGACUCCUACGGGAGGCAGCAGUGGGGAAUAUUGGACAAUGGGCGCAAGCCUGAUCCAGCCAUACCGCGUGGGUGAAGAAGGCCUUCGGGUUGUAAAGCCCUUUUGUUGGGAAAGAAAAGCAGCAGGUUAAUACCCCGCUGUUCUGACGGUACCCAAGGAAUAAGCACCGGCUAACUUCGUG
RNAcentral lists this ribosomal RNA (492 nucleotides) under uncultured bacterium. RNAcentral describes it as "partial 16S ribosomal RNA". It matches the Rfam family "Bacterial small subunit ribosomal RNA", at positions 29 to 507 of the family's 1533-position model. The record is from RNAcentral.